Molecule: non-coding RNA, 96 nt
Filed under: Flavobacterium frigoris
Lineage: Bacteria; Pseudomonadati; Bacteroidota; Flavobacteriia; Flavobacteriales; Flavobacteriaceae
Description: SAM-I-IV sequence
Rfam family: SAM-I/IV (S-adenosyl methionine) riboswitch aptamer
About the family: It is found upstream of a number of genes which code for proteins involved in methionine or cysteine biosynthesis. It has been found mostly in the order Actinomycetales.
Source: RNAcentral
AGCCGUUAUCACGAAUCUCAUUAUGAGAUAGCAACCUGCAAAACGAGCAAGGUGCUAAAACGAUAAGCCAAAUCCUUUGGAAAAAUUGUUGUUUCA